GGGGACGUAGCUCAGCCUGGGAGAGCGCUGCGCUGAAGACGCAGGUGUCACGGAUUCAAAUUCCGUCGUCCCCA
RNAcentral lists this transfer RNA (74 nucleotides) under Candidatus Woesearchaeota archaeon. RNAcentral's name for it is "tRNA-Phe". It matches the Rfam family "tRNA". Rfam says of the family: Transfer RNA (tRNA) molecules are approximately 80 nucleotides in length. Their secondary structure includes four short double-helical elements and three loops (D, anti-codon, and T loops). Further hydrogen bonds mediate the characteristic L-shaped molecular structure. tRNAs have two regions of fundamental functional importance: the anti-codon, which is responsible for specific mRNA codon recognition, and the 3' end, to which the tRNAs corresponding amino acid is attached (by aminoacyl-tRNA synthetases). tRNAs cope with the degeneracy of the genetic code in two manners: having more than one tRNA (with a specific anti-codon) for a particular amino acid; and 'wobble' base-pairing, i.e. permitting non-standard base-pairing at the 3rd anti-codon position. Lineage: Archaea; Nanobdellati; Candidatus Woesearchaeota. The record is from RNAcentral.